This is a long non-coding RNA of Mustela lutreola (European mink), 131 nucleotides long. RefSeq lists it as uncharacterized. The record is from RefSeq and is a predicted model, not a curated record. Lineage: Eukaryota; Metazoa; Chordata; Mammalia; Carnivora; Mustelidae. The transcript has 3 exons.
CAAAUUUUUCUGCCAACUGUAGAGCUACUUAACUGACCACUGGCAGGUGAUACAGUGGAAGUUGUCCAGAGCCUGGUGCCCUAUAGGUGAGAGAGUGUGCGAGUGGGGAUGGACGAAGAGGGAAAGCCGAC